RNAcentral lists this ribosomal RNA (253 nucleotides) under uncultured bacterium. RNAcentral's name for it is "partial 16S ribosomal RNA". It matches the Rfam family "Bacterial small subunit ribosomal RNA", at positions 524 to 776 of the family's 1533-position model. The record is from RNAcentral.
UACGGAGGGAGCUAGCGUUGUUCGGAAUUACUGGGCGUAAAGCGCGCGUAGGCGGCUUUGUAAGUUAGAGGUGAAAGCCCGGGGCUCAACUCCGGAACUGCCUUUAAGACUGCAUCGCUUGAAUCCGGGAGAGGUGAGUGGAACUGCGAGUGUAGAGGUGAAAUUCGUAGAUAUUCGCAAGAACACCAGUGGCGAAGGCGGCUCACUGGCCCGGUACUGACGCUGAGGUGCGAAAGCGUGGGGAGCAAACAGG